This 857-nucleotide ribosomal RNA is filed under the name uncultured bacterium. RNAcentral describes it as "bacterial SSU rRNA". It matches the Rfam family "Bacterial small subunit ribosomal RNA", at positions 348 to 1198 of the family's 1533-position model. The record is from RNAcentral.
GCAGCAGUGGGGAAUAUUGCACAAUGGGGGAAACCCUGAUGCAGCCAUGCCGCGUGUGUGAAGAAGGCCUUCCGGGUUGUAAAGCACUUUCAGUUGUGAGGAAAGGUUAACGGUUAAUACCCGUUAGCUGUGACGUUAGCAACAGAAGAAGGACCAGCUAACUCCGUGCCAGCAGCCGCGGUAAUACGGAGGGUCCGAGCGUUAAUCGGAAUUACUGGGCGUAAAGCGCACGCAGGCGGUUUGUUAAGCUAGAUGUGAAAGCCCUGGGCUCAACCUGGGAAUUGCAUUUAGAACUGGCAGGCUAGAGUUUUGGAGAGGGGAGUGGAAUUCCAGGUGUAGCGGUGAAAUGCGUAGAUAUCUGGAGGAACAUCAGUGGCGAAGGCGACUCCCUGGUCAGUAACUGACGCUCAUGUGCGAAAGUGUGGGUAGCGAACAGGAUUAGAUACCCUGGUAGUCCACACCGUAAACGCUGUCUACUAGCUGUUUGUGGAUUUAAUCCGUGAGUAGCGAAGCUAACGCGAUAAGUAGACCGCCUGGGGAGUACGGCCGCAAGGUUAAAACUCAAAUGAAUUGACGGGGGCCCGCACAAGCGGUGGAGCAUGUGGUUUAAUUCGAUGCAACGCGAAGAACCUUACCUACUCUUGACAUACUGAGAACUUAGCAGAGAUGCUUUGGUGCCUUCGGGAACUCAGAUACAGGUGCUGCAUGGCUGUCGUCAGCUCGUGUCGUGAGAUGUUGGGUUAAGUCCCGCAACGAGCGCAACCCAUGUCCUUAGUUGCCAGCCUUAAGUUGGGCACUCUAAGGAGACUGCCGGUGACAAACCGGAGGAAGGUGGGGACGACGUAAAGUCCUCAUGG